UGACCUCAAAUCAGGUAGGACUACCCGCUGAACUUAAGCAUAUCAAUAAGCGGAGGAAAAGAAACUAACAAGGAUUCCCCUAGUAACUGCGAGUGAAGCGGGAAAAGCUCAAAUUUAAAAUCUGGCGGUUCUUGUAGCCGUCCGAGUUGUAAUUUAGAGAAGUGUUAUCCGCGCUGGACCGUGUACAAGUCUCCUGGAAUGGAGCGUCAUAGAGGGUGAGAAUCCCGUCUUUGACACGGACUGCCAGGGCAUUGUGAUGCGCUCUCGAAGAGUCGAGUUGUUUGGGAAUGCAGCUCAAAAUGGGUGGUAAAUUCCAUCUAAAGCUAAAUAUUGGGGAGAGACCGAUAGCGAACAAGUACCGUGAGGGAAAGAUGAAAAGAACUUUGGAAAGAGAGUUAAACAGUACGUGAAAUUGCUGAAAGGGAAACGCUUGAAGUCAGUCGCGUCGUUCAGGACUCAGCCUUGCUUUUGCUUGGUGUACUUCUUGUUCGACGGGUCAGCAUCAAUUUUGGUCGGUGGAUAAAGGCUUAGAGAAUGUGGCAUCUUCGGGUGUGUUAUAGCUCUGGGUCGCAUACAUCGGCUGGGAUUGAGGAACUCAGCACGCCGCAAGGCCGGGUACUUGUACCACGUACGUGCUAGGAUG
Molecule: ribosomal RNA, 643 nt
Filed under: Mycena epipterygia
Lineage: Eukaryota; Fungi; Basidiomycota; Agaricomycetes; Agaricales; Mycenaceae
Description: eukaryotic LSU rRNA
Rfam family: Eukaryotic large subunit ribosomal RNA
Source: RNAcentral